This 473-nucleotide ribosomal RNA is filed under the name uncultured organism. RNAcentral's name for it is "partial 16S ribosomal RNA". It matches the Rfam family "Bacterial small subunit ribosomal RNA", at positions 333 to 798 of the family's 1533-position model. The record is from RNAcentral.
ACACUCCUGCGGGAGGCAGCAGUGGGGAAUUUUGGACAAUGGGCGCAAGCCUGAUCCAGCCAUGCCGCGUGCGGGAAGAAGGCCUUCGGGUUGUAAACCGCUUUUGUCAGGGAAGAAAAGGUUCUGGCUAAUACCUGGGACUCAUGACGGUACCUGAAGAAUAAGCACCGGCUAACUACGUGCCAGCAGCCGCGGUAAUACGUAGGGUGCAAGCGUUAAUCGGAAUUACUGGGCGUAAAGCGUGCGCAGGCGGGUAUGCAAGACAGAGGUGAAAUCCCCGGGCUCAACCUGGGAACUGCCUUUGUGACUGCAUGGCUAGAGUACGGUAGAGGGGGAUGGAAUUCCGCGUGUAGCAGUGAAAUGCGUAGAUAUGCGGAGGAACACCGAUGGCGAAGGCAAUCCCCUGGACCUGUACUGACGCUCAUGCACGAAAGCGGGGGGAGCAAACAGGAUUAGAUACCCUGGUAGUCCCA